Molecule: small nuclear RNA, 187 nt
Organism: Trichosporon asahii var. asahii CBS 8904
Lineage: Eukaryota; Fungi; Basidiomycota; Tremellomycetes; Trichosporonales; Trichosporonaceae
Rfam family: U2 spliceosomal RNA
About the family: U2 is a small nuclear RNA (snRNA) component of the spliceosome (involved in pre-mRNA splicing).
Source: Rfam
AUCCUCUCUGGCCUCUUUUGGCUAAGAUCAUGUGUAGUAUCUGUUCUUAACAUAGUGAGAUAUGUUAUAGCCCCACGGGGCUUCAAUCUCCCUUUAUCUUUCCUCGCCCGAGGUGCCUCUGCGGCUUGCUGCACGCAUCCUCACGAUGUCGCUGGCCUUGCACUGCCGCCUUCUGAUGUCAGGGUAC